AAAAAAAUGGGGCGAGCGAGCGAAAUUUAAAUUUAUAUUUUUAAAUUCUUCGCCUCAAAUUUUGAAGAAAUAUGGAGCGAGCGAUAUUUUUUUUCUCUCAAUUUUUAUAUCUUUUACCUAAAAGAAGCAACUGAAUUUUCAACUCACUUAAUUGAAAGGGGACAUAAUUUGAUAUAAUUAAAUUAUCUCCCUUUUUAUAUGUAUUUCAACUUUCUGCAUUCUUUUUCAUUUUGUUUUGUUGUUUGUAUAAUUAACACUGCACAAAUAUACACUUUUGAACAUAUUUUUUUAUGCAUGAACUUUAUAUGGCUAUCUGCUUUUAAUAUGCACUGCUUUCAUCUGUAGUAUAUGCACCUUCUGGUCCUUAGACACCCUCUGUAGUAUGCUAGCUAGCUUCUUGUAACAUAACUGCAUGGUGUGUGUUUUGUGUUUAUGCAUAUGGAUCACUAACCAGUCAAUCCAAGCACAGUGGAAACUGGGGGUUCUAGCUAGUGCUACUUUACAAUUAAAUAUCAGAAAAUAAAUUACACCAAAACAUACCAACAUGGAAAUACCUACAUAACCUACAUUUUUAAGCCUAUGUUAUAACUAAGAUUUCAACCAGAUGCAUCAUGGAGUCUAUAAUCCUGCAAUAGAAAUGCAUUUUUUUUCAUUUACAAAACAUCCUGUGUUAAACAAGUUAACUUUCAAUUUCACCCAUCUUUAAAAAUGGUAUAAAAUAUCAAAUUUUAUCAUUUUGUCAGUACCUUGUAUUAUUAUAAAAAGGUACAUAUAAAAAUGGAACAAUAUGGGGUAUUUUAAAGUUUGAGAACUGCACAACAUCCACCAGGAAAAAUAACAAAUGCAGAGGUCUCCACAAGGCCGUCAACAACUGUUUUGGUGUCUAUCUUUUCAUAUCAAAAGAAAUGUAUCAAUGAAAUAUCAGUAGGGAUAUUUACAGGGCCAACAAAAGGCUUAAUUUCUACUCCAUGUACAACAAUU
RNAcentral lists this long non-coding RNA (981 nucleotides) under Mytilus galloprovincialis (Mediterranean mussel). The record is from RNAcentral. Lineage: Eukaryota; Metazoa; Mollusca; Bivalvia; Mytilida; Mytilidae.